UGGGGCAGGAGGGGAAGGAGGAUCCCGGGGCGGACAGGGGGUCCUGGCUGGGUGGCUUUGUGCCGUGGCGGGGGCGGGGGGGAGAGGGGCGGCGGCCCCACCCGGGUGGCCCCCUCGCCCUGCUGAGGUUCCUACAGUUCGUUCCUGCCCUUCAGGGAGACGAGGGGGAUUCUGAGGGAACUUACCUCAGGGCUGCCGGCGGGCGCGAGUCCCGGGGAGGCCUGGCCGCGCCCGGCGGGGCUCGGGGCAACUCCGGGCUCUGCACUCGGGAUCCUCCGGGGGUCGGGGGACCCCGUGGGGUGUCGACAAGGCCCCGCCCUCCCCGCUGCCCUGUCGCUCAGGCCCGGCCACAGAGAGAGACAAGAGGGAGCCUCAGUUCCCCAGUUUCCCGCACGUGGGCGGGGCGUGCACGGCCGCCUCCCCAUUGGUUCCUGCGGGGACACUCGGAGCCCCCGGGGGUCUCGGGCUGGGGCGGGGGGUCACCCGGGAAUGUUCCCGGGCCGGUCCUUGUCGGGCCACUUCUGUCAUUGUGACUAUGGAGUCGGGGCCGAAGGGUCGGUUUCCCUGGAAAGGGGGGAGUUAGUCUCUCUUUUAAUUAAAAACAAAGUUUUGUUUCAUAAUACUUGACCGACAUCCCGCCGCGCGCAGGGUCCCUCCUGGCUCUGCACCAGGGGACUCUCCUGGCGGGACUCAGGGUCCUGUGGAAUGUCAGGCUCGGUCCUGUCAGCCCCGUGCACGGCAGAUGCUCUCCCAGUGCACUGCCCUCUGCACUGGCCGGGGACUCAGGAGUGUGUGGCUGACCGUUUGAUUUUCCCGGGUUCCUGCGACUGCGGUAGGUUUUUGGGAUCCUGGGAGAUGCGGAGCUGAAGAGACUCUGGCAGAAGUGGGUCUAGCAUCCGGGCUGUGUUGGACCAGAGUGGUCCUUGCAACCAAAUGUAGCAGGUGGUAGGCUGGUCACUUCCAGGAUGUACCCCUAGAUGUACCAUAAUGCAAUCUAGGAUUUCCAUUGGUCACCACACCCUUAUUUCUUUGUUUUACAUAAUUUUUAGAUUUUUUUAGGGUGAGGGAACACAUGGCAAUGUUCAGGGGUUAUUCCUAACUCUGCACUCAGGGAUCACACCUGGGGGUGCUCAGGGAAACAUGGGAUGCGAUGCCGGCAAUCAAACCUUGGUAGACACGUGCAAGACAAGAACCCCACCCACUAAAUUUCUGUUAUUAUUAUUAUUAUUAUUUGCUUUUUGGGUCACACCCAGCGAUGCUCAGGGGUUACUCCUGGCUCUGCACUCAGGAAUUACUCCUUGCAGUGCUUGGGGGACCAUAUGGGUUGCCGGGGAUCGAACCCGGGUCGGCCGCGUGCAAGGCAAACGCCCUACCCGCUGUGCUAUCGCUCCGGCCCCAUUUCUGUUAUUAUUAAUUGUAGUUUUUGGUCCACAGCUGGCAAGUGCUAAGGGCUCACUCUUGGACCUUAGCUCAGGCGUGGCUCUUGGCAGUGCUGGGGUGGGGAAACCUAUGUGCUGUUGCAUAUUAACUCGGGCUCAGCUGCUUGAACGAAAAGCAUCCUAUACAUUUACUAUCUCUGCUAACUCUCUGAUUUUAUUUUUCCUCAGACAAAUAAUUUCUGCUUUACCUGUCAGGUUUCAGAGCAAUCCCUCAUUGACGGAGGUAUUUCUCCAGGACCAGAGGCUCCCCCUUCUGUUCUGCUGAUUCCACGGAGCCACCUGCUGAUCCUUGGGAAUUACAGAAGCUGCAGGCAAUGGUGACGCUUCACUGACACACUGUUCCAGGUGAUUCUAUGGAGCCACCUGCUGAUCCUUGGGAAUUACAGAAGCUUCAGACAAUGGUGACACACCAUCUGACACACUGUCCCCAGGUGGGAGGAGAAUGAUGUGGUGACAUGAUGCAGUGACAGGCAGGAAUUUCUGCUCUCUCACAGCAAGUUGCAAAGCCUCCGCACUUCUCAUCUCGCCGUGAUCAAGCGACCCAGGCUAUUGGGUUCCGUAUUAUAGCACUUGGCCUAUCCUGAUUCUAUGCCAGGGUAGCUCACAGUUUGCCCUGGGUCCAUCUAGUCCCUCAUCAGGACCGUGCAUUUGAGGUGCCAAGAAAUAUGGACAACAAAGGCUUUAGUGUCUCGAGAAAACAGAUGCCCAGGAGUUAAUAUUCAUCGGAUUUAAAGGACUUCAAAGUUCCAAAAGCAUAGACUUAACUGUCUUCCUGUCUACAGAAAAGACAUUGCUAUGAAGUAAACUAUGCAAAAAGGAGAGGAGAAGGAGAAAAGCAAUAUUUCACUUAUCAAACACAUGGGGAGGCGCGGGGCACUCCGGAGGGCACUUUGGUCCUGCCACAAAGUCUGCCUUCACAGCCGCCCUGCCUCAGGGCACCAAUUCCUCCUCUACCCACAAGACCAAUGGCGGCCCGAGCCAGGCAACCGCAGCUAGAUUAGAAAGGAUUCCUGAAGGGCCGUCUGUGGCAUCACUUCCGUUUUUGCCAGGGGCCUUAAAGAGCCAUCGCUAAGAUUUAGAGAACCCAGGUGAACUGGUGGUGUAAGGGGAAUGGACUAAACAAAGGAGUGGAGAGGCAGCUGAUGGGGCGGUGAGCCACAGAGUGAGGAGCUUCGGGGGGAAGGAGAAGAGACCUGAUCCUGUACUGAUCAGUCAAAAAUUCAACCAAUGCUAUCACAGUCCCCCAGGAAAAACGCGGGUGGGUUGAUUGAAAGUAAAACAGGCAGGUAGGUGCAAGUCACCUGAUGCUGGGGAAUUAAGAUGGGGUGAGAGCAGUGACUCCAAAGCCAGCCCUGGAGAUGCAGAGAGGAACUGGCCUGGCAGCAGCCCAGAGAGCUGGACAGACACUGCAAAGGGGAAAAUGCUGGAAGAACACAGUCUUUGGAAAAAGCCCAACCACUGGACUCUUGCCUACAAGGUAAACCACAUCAAGGCAGUUUCAGAAACAAAUACAGAGGAUGGGUAAGAGGGGUAGUACAGCGGGCUGGGCACUUACUUACCUUGCAUGCGGGCAAUCUGGGUUCACACCUCAGAAUUCCAAAUGGUUCCCUGAGCAUCACCGAAGAGCAAGAAAGAAACAGCACACUGAAUCACUUUGGACAAGAGUGGCGCCCCCAAAAUGCCUCCAAACUGUGUGCCCGGAGCUUCUGGCCCAGGCGCUGCCAGCGAGUGAUGCAAUUACCAAAAGAAUUUUCCCUGGACUUCAUAUAGAAAUCCAAAACCUCGAGGCUGCGAUAGCAGCCACGCGACCUAAUAUCUUUUGAUUGUCAGCAAUGUGUAAAUGUUCCUUUUUGGCAGGGCUUACCGUGGGGGGAAACUCCAAACAAUAGUACUGAGUUUUUUGUUGAAGGGUAAAAAAUUGUAACGAUAGAAUUUUAGGCAGAAUUUUCCCUGGACUUUAUAUAGAAACCCAAAACCGCGUGGCCUCGGCAGCCUAAUGUCAUCUAAUCAUCAGCAAUAUGAAAUGGUUCCUUUGUAAUGGGUUGGACUUUGGGGGGACCAUAAUAGGGUUAAAGUUUGUAGCGACGUGUAAUUUCUGGCUGUACUUUCCCUGGACUUUAUACAGAAAUUCAAAGCCGCGAGGCCGCUGCCAUGGCCGUGCAACCUAUUGUCAUUUAAUCAUCACCAAUAUGAAAUGGUUCCUUCUUAGCGGGUCGGACUUUGGUGGGAAAUCCUAACAAGAAUACUAAGUCUUUUGCUGAAAUAUUGAAGGCUAUCAAAGUGAUAGCCAUCUCUAUAGACUGAACUAAGCCAUAUCCCCACGCCGGCUGAGAAGAAAUAUCCUUCUUUCUCGGGAAGAAACGCGGCGUGGCAUUAACCAUAGUAUGAUGUCCAUUAAGCUGACAUGGACCUGGUGGCGUGGGAAUGGGAUACAAGGGAAUAAAUUAUUAUGUACUUGGAACAGCGGGACGCUGGUGGAAUCUCGAGCCGGGGCCGAUACCAGCAUAUUACCUUUGAUUCCAGAAACUGCUUGCAGACAUUCUACCAGGCUAUCAACUAAGCCAGAGCCCCACGCCGGCUGAUGACGGGAAAUAACCAUCUUUUUUGGUUUGUUUUCCCUUUGUCAGGCAGCGUGGUGAUUACUAAACAGGCGUGAUCUCGGUGGCGCGGGACGAGGGGGGAAAAAAAUAGAAAAGUUAUGUAACAAACAGCGGGACUUAAUAUCUCUACAUUCUCAGCAAUGGAGAGCCAUCAAAUGCUUCCUUGACAGUGGGACUGUCUUUUCUUUUUUGGGGGAAACCCUAGCAACAAUAGUGAGUUAUGUGUUGAAACAUGGACUGUAACCAAGAUAAAGCGUAAACGAAGUGAAACUUAUCAUUUACAAGGGCAGGGACUGGGGGGGCGGGAGAGGGCGGGAGGUUUAAUGGGGUGGUUGGUGAUGGAAUAUGGGCACGGGUGAAGGGAAGGGUGUUUGAGUAUUGUAUAACUGACAUAAUCCUGAGAACUAUGUAACCCUCCACAUGGUGAUUCAAUAAAAUUUAAAUUAAAAAAAAAAAGAAACAGCACUGUAGUGCUGUCGUCCCAUUGUUCAUCGAUUUGCUUGAGUGGGCACCAGUAACAUCUCCAUUGUGAGAUUUGUUGUUACUGUUUUUGGAAUAUCGAGUGUGCCACAUGUAGCUUGCCAGGCUCUGCGUUGAGGUGAGAUACCCUCAGUAGGUUGCCGGGCUCUCUGAGAGGGGUGGAGGAAGACAGAAAUCAGUAUACAUUAGGAAACUUAUUAUUUUACAGGCACGAAAGAACAAAGUAUUUGCACUGAUGAUUAGUUACCAAAGUUGACCGUAUUUAUGAUUUUAUUUAUUGAAACUAUCUGUAUGUUUCAGAGCUUUGGCCAGAGUGAUAGAACAGUGGGUAAGGUGUUUGCCUUGCACAUGACCAGUCCGGGUUUGAUCCCUGCAUCCCAUUUGAUGCCCCAAGUACCACCAGUAGUAAUUCAUGAGUGCAGAGAUAUGAGUGACCGCUGAGAAUCACUGGGUGUGAUCCAAAAAGCCAAAACAAAAUAAGAAGCAAUCUCUUUUUUAUUGUUUUGGUUUGUUUGUUUUUAGACUACAGUCAACGGCACUCGGUGCAUACUCCUGGCUCUGUGCUCAGGAACCACUCCUAGUGGGACUCCAGGGACCAUAUGUGCACAUGGUAUUGAACUAAGGCCAUCCCCUUGCAAGGCAAGCACCCUACCCACUGUACCACAUCUCCACACUCACACAGCACUCUCUAAAGGAACAUAUACUCCCAGGAGUAAACCCAAAGUUCCUACGGCUCCUACCUGCUGCAAAUGCCUUCUCCCGCACUCGUGUCUAUCCACUGAGCUCCUCUCCAAGGCCCAGCUCGCCCUGCCUUACCACCCACACGGCGGCCUUCUUUCUAUGAAUCGCUAGAGUACUCACUGUAUUGUUUGUCCAUGAUCUUCCCAUGUAAACACUAGCAAACUUUUUAAACAGACAUAGUUUCUGUGAGUCAUUUUCACAAAGACCUAUUUAAGUUUUAUUUUUUAAUAACUACAGAAACUUCAAUGAAAUUAUCUUAUAAAAGUUUCCAUGUCUGAGGCUGAAGAGAUAACACAAUGUGUAGGACCUUGCGUUGUCCACAGCCAACUAAGGUUUGAUCCCCAGCAUCCCACAUGGUCCCCGGUUCACUGCUAGAAGAAGUUCCUGAGUGCAGAGCCAGUAAAGCACCCUGCUUGGUUUAUUGAUCCAAUGAGAGAAUUAGCAAUACUUUAUUGAGUACCUAUUUUAUUAGUCUGAGCAAGCUGAAAUGACUGUUUUAACCAACUAAACUCAUGGUUUCACACAGUCCAAUCUAAUGACAGGCCCAACAUAUAAGCCCACUAAUAAUGAAAAAAUUGGUGCACUCUGAAGGUCACUUCCUGGAGAAGUUAGGACUGGUGAAGUGGUAAGAGGAGGCCAGCACACAGCAAGAAGACGUCAGAAGACAAAGUGACCAGAGUGGAUUACCCACUUAAUUAUCCCGAAUACAAAUGACCCAGAUACACUGCAAGUCUUAUUGUUUUCUAUGAACUAACAGUGAUCAGCACCCUUUCCCCAAAACUUUAUUAAUACUUCAUUUCUCCCCCAAAUUACUAACAUAAUCUGCUACAUUAUACUAAUCAGCCAACUUUAAAAUCAAGAUUGAAGACAGAUGCUUGUGGAGAGCCUCCACGGGGCCAUGCUUCGUAAACAACACCUGUUUCUUGUUAAUUGCACCGUGCUUCGUAAACAACUCCUAAUAAGGAAACAGGAUGUCUUGCCACACCCAUAAGCUGUGACUAACCUAUCAGAUGCAGACACGUGGGCGUAAGCAGGCAGCGAGAGGUAUAUAAGGGGGGAGGUCUCCUAGCUAGUCGGUUCUCCCUCAUGCGUCCCCUUUUCCUCCUUACUCCACGUCCCCGUUCCUGAUUUCUUCUCUAACGCAUGAGAAAGUUCCUGAAUAAAUCAUAGCCAAAAGGACCUCCGAGUUGCGUGUUUCUUCGCUGGACGAAGCGGCGCGUGGCAGCUGGUGGCCCGUACGGGGAACCCGACCUCCAGUACCCCCCGGUGGAUUCAGAACUUGCUGCGAUUUAUUCAGGACUAAGGUUCACGAGAAAUCGUGACGAUGAGGUUCCUGUGGUAAGUCAGGACUAAGGUUCACGAGAAGUCGUGACGAUCAAGUUCCUGUGGUGAGUCAGGACAAUAAUAUCCAUGGAUGUGUAUGUUUCGUUUGUUGGUUGGAUGUUUGUUUGUCUUUCCCUUUUUUUUUUCAUUUUUGCUUUCUAUGCUUACUCUAAGGAUCAAAAGUGCGAUAAGGCCGUACAACCAGGACAAGUAGUGUUAGAAGAGACAAAGAAGGACAGAGGCAGCCGUCAUGGCAUUAUAGCCUCUGAGCCAGAGGAGGGUUCGGACGUGGAAAGCGAGGCCUCUAGGGGAACCCUGCUGACGGAGGGACGCGCCCCAAAAAAGAAAGGAAGGCCCCAAGAACCAUCCAUGACCCGUCCGUCUCUUUAUCCCUCGCUACGUCAAUUUCAGCAGGGACGGGCUAACGGGGAUUCUGACCCCCCUAUUGAAGAGGAAGCUGUGAUACAUGAUAGUGACCGAUACUUACCGCUAAAGGGCUCUGAGGAUGAUCUGCACCCUUAUCUUAACAAAGCGGGAGGCGGACUUUCUUUUGCAAAACCCAGGCUCUGGGCAGAAAUUAGGUGAGAGCUACAGUUAACUUAUCCUGUUUUUGAAGAUAACAAUCAACAGCGAUAUCACGGGCCCCUAGAUUUUAAAAUAAUUAAGUCCUUGGCAGAAUCAGUAAAGAUGUAUGGAGCCAACACGGCAUUUACCUUAACUCAAGUAGGCUUAUUCAGAUAUUGUAUGACGCCAAAUGAUUGGCAACAGGUGGCUAGAGCGGUGUUGACGCCCAGACAAUACUUAGACUGGCGUACCUUCUUAAUGGAAUUUGCAAAAUUGAGCAAGCUCUUACUGCUGCUGGCAAUACACGCGUGCAGCCUGAAUUUCCUAUUUUACUUUGUGUGCUUUCAACAUAUGGGCAACCUACUGCAGUCCUAUGGCAGGAGGGACCCCUUCUGUGGAUUCAUCCUAGGGUCUCUCCGGCAAAAGCCGUGGAAUUAUACCCUGCAGCUGUAGCCCGUUUGGCUAUGAUUGGUAUUCAGGACUGUUUGCAAUACUUUGGAAAACUUCCAGAUACUCUUAUUACCCCCUAUAAUUCCACUCAAAUAGUUUCUUUGUGUAACUUACAUGAUGAUUGGGCGAUUCUCCGAUUUUCUUUUCCCAAUGUUAUUAAUAAUCAUUAUCCCAAACAUCCACUAAUGACCUUCUUUAAAACCCAUCUGGUAAUUUUCCCCAAAGUCACCUCUUAUGUACCCCUUCAGGAUGUUCCAAACAUUUAUACUGAUGGUUCAAGUACAGGCUGGGGGGCUUAUAUGAUAGAGGGUCAAGAUCCUAUUCGUAUGCAAUUUCCAACUACGUCUCCUCAAGUUGUGGAACUCCGCAUUGUCUUGACAGUGUUUGAGCAUUGCCCCUUUGCUUUCAAUUUGAUCUGAUUCACGAUACGUUGUAAAUGCUCUUUGCUCACUCGAGGUAGCAGGACUCAUAAAGGCCUCCAGCUCGAUAGCCUCCUUGUUAUCUGCUUUACAGCAAAUUCUUUGGACCCAUGAAAAACCAUUUUUUGUCACACAUAUCCGCUCUCACACAGGCCUUCCGGGUCCCUUAGCAGAAGGCAAUGCUUGUGUUGAUGCACUCACUAGACCAUCUUGUUUUGUUAUUCAGUCUCCUUUACAAUUAGCAAAAAAUUUUCAUGACCGUUUCCAUGUUUCUUCUCGGACCCUUCAACAUAGAUUUCAAAUACCUCGAGCCGAAGCUCGGGCAAUUGUUUUACAUUGUCCACACUGUGUCCCUUUUCUUCCUGCCCCCUCCAUGGGCAUAAACCCUCGUGGUCUUGUGCCUUUACGCAUUUGGCAAAUGGAUGUUACACAUUUCUCGGAAUUUGGCAGGCUCAAAUAUCUCCAUGUAUCCGUGGACACGUGCUCCGGUAUCAUUCAUGCCACUCCCCUUCCUGGAGAGCGGUCCACAAAUGUUAUCUCUCAUUGCCUUGAAGCAUGGGCAGCCGGGGGCAUCCCAGCCCAACUGAAAACAGAUAACGGUCCGGCAUACACCUCUGCUAAAUUCACCGCAUUUUGUGCCCAGAUGGGAGUCUCUUUAUCUCAUGGCCUCCCAUAUAACCCACAAGGACAGGGCAUCGUUGAGCGUGCCCAUUCCACCCUUAAAGCAUGCCUAAUAAAACAAAAAGGGGGAGUUGGCCUGGGACGGCCCCCUCGAGAAAGAAUCUCUAUUGCACUUUUUACUCUAAAUUUUUUUAUUAUUGAUGAUAAGGGCGCCUCCUCUGCAGACAGGCAUUCUUCAAAGAUCCCUGUGUGCCAAGGAUAUGUUAAAUGGAAGGAUAUCCUUUCUGGUGUAUGGCAUGGCCCGGACCCCGUGUUAACCUGGGCCAGGGGUUCUGUUUGUGUUUUUCCACAGGACAGGGCAGAACCAGUGUGGAUUCCUGAACGUCUGACACGGAAGACCACGCCUCCAGUAGAUCAAGAGGUGGAAACUGGUGCUCCUGUUCAACCUGGUUCCUGUGAUGAUACGAGCUGAAGAAGCAGCUUUUUGGGCCAUUGCACACCAUGGCCUGCUUUUAUCCCUUCCUUACCCACCUUAAUAAGACCAGAGUAGAAGUCCCCUCUAUUUUAUCAAAGAGUGGGUGGAGGUGGGAGUAGUACUAUCCUUAUUGCUUCUCGCUGCUUUGGUUUUUUGCCUGGUGUCUAUACAAAAUGCAGCAAGAACAACUAUUUACAAAGGCGUGGUAUUUACAGGUAUUCGUGGCCCUGGAGGCACAGCAAUCCCCGUAGCUUUGGCUUGCAACUUGGAAACAAUAAUCUCGCUUAGAACAAUCAGGUCUAGCUGGACGUAGCAAAGGUAUUAUGCAGCUGAGAGCCCUUAACUGCAGGGGACCUCCUGUAGUUGAGGAGUUUGAAAGGGUGCACUAUACCCCACCUGACCUGGUGAUCAGAUGCAGUUUAUUCUGUUCUCCCCACGUGUCUUUUCUAGUCUCACCAAGCUACCCAUUCCAGUCUCACCCUAGCCCUCAUUCCCAUCUCC
Molecule: long non-coding RNA, 9613 nt
Organism: Sorex araneus (European shrew)
Lineage: Eukaryota; Metazoa; Chordata; Mammalia; Eulipotyphla; Soricidae
Exons: 5
Source: RefSeq, a predicted model, not a curated record